AAAAUUUUAAACAUUCAAAGUAACUUGUCUACCUAAAUCAUAACUUGGUACACAUUCGAUGACAUCCUUCUGUCCUCCCAAGAUCACUUAAGGUUGAUACUUGAGAAACAUAGAACCACCAUACAUAGAACCACAUUUUUAGUUUUAAUAUUAGAUCCUCUACUUAAAAGAAUUAAUGCAUGCAAAAUUGCAACAAUCACAGUUCUUAUUCUUUCAUUUUUG
Molecule: unclassified non-coding RNA, 222 nt
Filed under: Hevea brasiliensis (rubber tree)
Lineage: Eukaryota; Viridiplantae; Streptophyta; Magnoliopsida; Malpighiales; Euphorbiaceae
Source: RNAcentral